CUUCACUUACCUGGUCCAUCGGCUGUCACCAACGCCUCGCGCUGCAUUCCGGCAUCUGAAAGACAAAGGCUUACCUACUCUUCGUGCGCUCCGGAGGUCUUCACACUGCAUUCCGGCAUCUGAAAGACAAAAGCUUACCAACUCUUCGCACGCUCCGGAGGCCUUCGGCGCUGCAUCCCGCAUCUGAAAGACAAAACAAGGUGCGUUUAAAGACAUUGGGGAACUUUAAUACUCACGUGCCAUUACUCCUUUCCACAUCUAACCAGUGGGUAUUCCGGCACCCUGCAGCCGCUCCGAACUUGUACCUGCAAAAUAAAAAGACAGUUAGAGCGCAUCGUGAAGCAGGCAACAAGCGCUUAAUUACGUGCUUCCAGGCGCUUCUAUUCAUCACACGGGCUCCAUCUUCAACUCACUUCAGCCCGUCAUCCGCCAUCGCCGGAACCCUGCAAAACAAGAAACAUCAUUACUAAAGACUUUAAAGACAUUAGAAUUACUCGAAACUUACCGUUCGUGCAGUAAACUGAAGUCAAGAGGCCUGCUCCCCUUAUCCAGUGAAGAAACUGGUUACAGCACCCUGCCCCGAGGCAGAUGGAGAGCACGGCGUUCACUUACCUAAGGUGAGAGCGUUAACCUUUGGGGUUCUACAGGAGAAGAGAAAGGGAAGAAGAGAGAGACAUUCAAUAACCCAGUUCCUUAAUCCCAUAUUUUCUAUCUGCAGACAUCUUACCCUUCAAGUCAGACAUACAGUGCACAGAGGUCCAGCCCAAAGAGCCAGCCGUAUGUUACACAUCGCCUUUGAAGAUACGGUAUACGCCCAGUCAAGACUGGCGCCUCUACGGGAAUCAGGUGAGCGUUACAGUGAUCUCAACCUAGUCCCGAACUUUAAAUGGGUAAGAAGCCCGGCUCGCUGGCGUGGCGCCGGGCAUUGAAUGCAAGUGCCCAGUCGGCAACUUUUGGUAAGCAGAACUGGCACUGCAGGAUUAACCGAACGCCGGGUUAGCGCGCCUGAUGGCGACGCUCAUCAGACCCCAGAAAUGGUGUUGGUUGAUAUAGACAUCAUGAUGGUGGCCAUGGAAGUCGGAAUCCGCCAAGAGUGUGUAACAACUCGUCUGCCAUAUCAACCAGCCCUGAAAAUGGAUGGCACUGGAGCGUCGCGCCCAUACCAGGCUGGCGCUGAGAGCUGCAAGGGCUAAGUCGCGACGAGUAGGAGGGCCGCUGCUGUGUGCACAGAAGCCCAGGGCGAAGGCCCGGGUGGACCGGCAGGUGCAGAUCUUGGUAGAAGUAGCAAAUAUUCAAACGAGAACUUUGAAGGCUGAAGUUGAGAAGGGUUGCAUGUGAACAGCAGUUGAACAGGGGUCAAUCGGUCUGAAGAGAUGGGCGAAAACUGUUCAGAAGGGACGGGCAAUGGCCUCCGUUGCCCUCAGCCGAUCGAAGGGGAUUCUGGUUCCUAUCCCAGAACCCGGAGUGGCGUAGACGGGCGCCCUAGAAUGGGUUUGCCCCAAGAAAGGGGCCCAAGCCUUGGAAUGCUUUGCGGUUCCGGCGGCAUCUGAUGAGCUCUCGCAUAUACGCUGCAGGUCUGCAAGGCGAACAGCCUCUGGCAUGUUGGAGCAAUGUAGGUAAGGGGAGUCGAAAAGUCAGAUCCGUAAUUUCGGGAUAAGGAUUGGCACUAAGGGCUGGGUCGGUCAUGUUGGGUGCGCGCCAUUGCUGUGCGACGCGUCUUCCCUACAGGGGCGGCACUGACUCUGGAUGCGAGCUGGGCCCUUCCUGUGGAUCACCCCAGCUGCAGUGGGUGCUUCUCUCAUUCCCCCUCCUGGGGUUCGGGCUGGCAUUCUGCCUUGGCCGACACCUAGCAGCUGACUUAGAACUGGUGCGUACCAGGAGAAUCCAACUGUUUAAUAAAAACAAAGCAUUGCGAAGGCCUGCGGUGGGUUUUGACGCAAUGUGAUUUCUGCCCAGUGCUCUGAAUGUCAAAGUGAAGAAAUUCAAUGAAGCGUGGGUAAAUGGCGGGAGUAACUAUGACUCUUAAGGCACCCAAAUGCCUUGUCAUCUAAUUAGUGAUGUGCAUGAAUGAGAUUCCCACUGUCCCUACCUACUAUCUAGCAAAACCACAGCCAAAGGAACAGACUUGGCAGAAUCGGCAGGGAAAGGAAACCCAGUUGAGUUUGACUCUAGUCUGGCACUGUGAAAAGACAUGAGAGGUGUAGGUUAAGUGGGCGGCACUCGGGCUGCCAAUGAAAUACCACUACUCUUAUUGUUUUUCCACUUACCCAGUGAGGUCGGGGGCGAGCCCCGUGGGGCUCUCCCUUCUGGCUCCAAGCGCCUGCUGGGCACAACCCGCUCCGGGGACAGUGGCAGGUGGGGAGUUUGAUUGGGGUGGUACACCUGUCAAACGAUAACGCAGGUGUCCUAAGGCGAGCUCAGGGAGGACAGAAACCUCCCGCAGAGCAGAAAGGCAAAAGCUAGCUUGUUCUUGAUUUUCAGUGUGAAUACAGACCGUGAAACGAUCCUGCUGACAUUUUGGGUUUCAAGCAGGAGGUGUCAGAAAAGUUACCACAGGGAUAACUGGCUUGUUGCGUCCAAGUGUUCAUAGCGACGUCGCUUUUUGAUCCUUUUGUUGUCGACUUCCUAUCUUUGUGAAACAGAAUUCACCAAGGUUUGGAUUGUUCACCCACUAAUAAGGAACGGGAGGUGGUUUUAGACCGUCGUGAGACAGGUUAGUUUUACUCUAGUGAUUAUGUGUUGUUGCAAUAGUAAUCCUGCUCAGUAUGAGAGGGACCGCAGGUUCAGACAUUUGGUGUACAUGCUUGGCUGAGGAGCCAAUGCGGCGAAGUUACUAUCUGUGGGAUUAACGCCUCUAAGCCAGAAUACCCCCCCCCCGCCCUAGACCGUGAUACCGCAGUGCUGUCGACCAUUGUUGGCCUAGGAUAGCUGGCCUCGGGACCGGUGUGUAGAGCCGCUCGCCUCGGGACUCAAGUGUGGACAGAAGGGGGCCACCUCUCUCGACCAUAGUGCACUGC
RNAcentral lists this ribosomal RNA (3017 nucleotides) under Ambystoma mexicanum (axolotl). RNAcentral describes it as "eukaryotic LSU rRNA". The stretch from base 471 to 3017 matches the Rfam family "Eukaryotic large subunit ribosomal RNA". Lineage: Eukaryota; Metazoa; Chordata; Amphibia; Caudata; Ambystomatidae. The record is from RNAcentral.